CUACGGGUGGCUCCAGUGAGGAAUAUUGCACAAUGGGGGGAACCCUGAUGCAGCAACGCCGCGUGGAGGAUGACGCAUUUCGGUGUGUAAACUCCUUUUAUAUGUCAAGAAAAUGACGGUAGCAUAUGAAUAAGCACCGGCUAACUCCGUGCCAGCAGCCGCGGUAAUACGGAGGGGGCAAGCGUUACUCGGAAGCACUGGGCGUAAAGGACGCGUAGGCGGGUUGGAAAGUCAGGUGUGAAAUCCUACAGCUUAACUGUAGAACUGCACUUGAAACUUCUAAUCUAGAGUAUGGGAGGGGGAGAUGGAAUUAGUGGUGUAGGGGUAAAAUCCGUAGAUAUCACUAGGAAUACCUAAAGCGAAGGCGAUCUCCUGGAACAUUACUGACGCUAAGGCGUGAAAGCGUGGGGAGCAAACAGGAUUAGAUACCCUUGUAGUC
Molecule: ribosomal RNA, 439 nt
Filed under: uncultured bacterium
Lineage: Bacteria
Description: partial 16S ribosomal RNA
Rfam family: Bacterial small subunit ribosomal RNA
Source: RNAcentral